Long non-coding RNA from Lagopus muta (rock ptarmigan), 3685 nucleotides. RefSeq lists it as uncharacterized. The record is from RefSeq and is a predicted model, not a curated record. Lineage: Eukaryota; Metazoa; Chordata; Aves; Galliformes; Phasianidae. The transcript is spliced from 3 exons.
ACGUGGGGGGGGUCGCAUCGUCCUUUCCCCCUCGGUAUAAGACGUGAUGGACCGCUGGGAGCCUCCGGUGGGGCUGUGACCGGGAGAACUAUUUGGUGGCUGCAGAGGGACAUGCCAGCCAGAUUCGUGAUCCCAAAGCAAAGUGCUGGAAGAAUCUGAGCAGGAGAGGGCAGCAACAAGCAGACACCGAAGCCCCACGGCAGAUGUGCUGGAAGUACCUGGGCGGUGCUGGGAACCUACCAGCUGUGUCCUGCUGUACCACGCAUACCUCCUGUCUUGCUUUGUGAGGCAGCAGUGGCAAGGACAGCAGGCAGAUUUAAUCAGGGGACUCCCAAAGAGUGACGUCUGCCUUUGUGAGGGAGCUUCUCCUCCAUCCUUCCCCUGAACUUUGGGUAGACACUGACCAAUAGCCACUGCAGAGAAAUUUGGUUUCUGUGAUCUAGCAUUUGGGAAGUGAUGUUUGUUAAUAAUAUUGCUGCAAUAAAAAAUAAGUUAUUCCCAGGAAAAAAUAAGGUAUUCCCUCACAACCAAUGUAGUUAUGGGACAGAUCUUUAAUAUGGUUUUAAUAUAUUUCCUUCCAUGUGUGAGGAGGACUCGCUUUAACCUAAUGGUGGGAAGAAAAGGCAGCAGUGUGGGGAGAGAAAUGGAAAACAAUACAAAAGUGUUUGGGAGUGAGAUUUCUUUUUUCUGCCACAGUUGCAUUGCCUUGCUGGUCUGCUUGUCCCAAAUGUUCAUACAAAGUGAAAUUGUCAUUGGGAUGAUACUGAAUACAGGCUGCCAGUGGAAAGUGUUUGGCCCACGAGAUGUUUCUGAUCAUUCUCUCUUUUUUACUCUAACUGAUGUGUGCAUUUUCCAUUAAUUUUCCUUUGGUUAAACUGUAGCCAUGGGACUGAGAGGAUGUCUCAUGCAUAGUGUUACUGAUACCAUAUGCUGCAGUACAUGGUAGAGACAUUUACUGCAGGACAGUUUUCUGUGGCAUGGAAAUGUUUUUUUUCAUUUUUGCAAGGGAUGAACUGUUUUCUCGCAACGGAGCAAAAUCUCAUAAUUAAGGACAGAGUGAUAUCCCAAGUUUUCACUGUGGUGUUUUGAAUGUCAAGGCCAAAUAUGAAGAAAAGUAUCUUCAUAUCCUGCUAUUUUGUGUGAUUGAACUAGAUCCUAUAUGAGAAAAUAAAUGUUCCUAUGGUAGCGGUGUUGCAUUUCAUCACUGUUUGUGCCUGUUUGAAGGACAAAUACUCCUGAGGAGAGGAGGUUUUACACAGGUUAUCUACACUGUAAGGCUGCUUACAUGGAAGUGAACUGGGAUCUGCAUGGAAAAUCCAACCUGUGCAGCUGGAGAUCAGACAGCCCACUGAAGAGAAAUAACUGCUUGUAGACUGCAGUUAAAGGCAAGGGGUGGAGGGCUGCAGCAGUGGAGUAACAGCUGAGGUGCAUGGUCUCACUGUGGGGUAGUGACUAGCUGAAGUAGGGAGCAGUGCGUGCUUGCACCAAAUAGCAUUUAAUCUGGGCAGGCAUUCAUUCUAACAUAAUCCUGCAUGCCAGGGUCAGGAUUUGCAUUAUAACAGAAGAUGCUGAGAAGUCAAGUUCAGAAAGGAUCUGCUGGUGGAGCCUAAGUAUCUCAUGUCUCCAGCAAAAUGCUGCCCAGGGCGCCAGCUUUUCUGCCAGAUGACAUAGUAUAUUAGCAAGCUGUGCCUGGCAUUUGCCCCUUGCUGGAUAGAGGAGAAGGCUCUGCAGACUAGUAAAAAACAGGAAAUGUUCAUUCAUUAUGCAGAGAUGUAUUUUUAACUUAGAAAUGGUUUUGAAGAGGGAAAAUAGUUACUUCCAGGGCAGAUAUAUAAUAGAGAAAGUUAAGGUGCUUUUGGACACCGUUUUCCCAUCCAGUGGUAAAGCCACAACUGAUGCAAUCAUGAUCCUUCUGGGAGUUCUCCUGUCUUUGAAGCAAUCUCUGAACAUGUUUCCUGGGUCUCUAGUGGCAUGAGACAAUCAGAUAUGCAUUUCCCCGGAGCUUUGCUCAUCAGAGGGGUAGAAAACAGGAAGGUGUUUUGGAAAGAGAUUGAGGUGAGUUAACAAGAAAGAAAAGGCAGUUAUGUUGUGUAGUGUAGGAGUUUGGGAGUCUGUGUGACUCCAGAGGAUUGGGGUUAUGUUAAAUUAGUUUGACAGGUUAUUCUGAAGCAGAAUAUAUUUAUUCCCUGACUUGUAGUUAAAGGGGGUCUGCAGAAGCUUGCUCUGUCUGUGCAGUGGAGAUCUCUCCUCUGUUGUGCUGCCAGCACUGGGAUUUUGCUGCUAGUCUUGGCAGCAGUCAUUGCCUGGUUGUUAGCAGGCUUGAAAUGUCUUUGCAAAUUCUUGCCCCUUCAACGUAAAAUUCCUGACCCUCUCAUCAGCAGUGGGAGCUGUGGUCCAGUAAAGCACUACAAAAUAUUACCUCACUUGGCCAGCUGGUUUCUAUGGCAUUUUUAUUUUUUUCUCCACUCAGGACAUUUCACUGCCCUCUAUAGAAAGUCCCCCCUUGUGCUGUGUAUGUUGCAGUGCAGGCACCACAGAUUUGAAAUGCAGUCAUGAUUCUGAUUUGCUGUGUGGGAUGACAAGAAGAAAACAACAAGGGGAAACUUGAGAGCUUAAAAUUACUGCUUCUGCCAGAGAAGUGCCAAUGACAGCAAAAAGGUAUUUUUACCUCUGCCCAUAGCCAGAUCCAUGCCACACCAACUGAUAUUGACACAGAUGUCUCUUGGUCAUUUAUCUGAUUCUGUGACAAUUCACUAAGUGAAUAUAACCAGCGUGGUUGCAUGAUUGCAUUUCACAUUAGGAGUGUUCUUUAGCAAGACAAAUCAGAACUCUGUAUCACUGUCAUCUUGAUUUAUAGGCCAAGAUGUAUGACUUCUCAGGAAAAUGUUGGCAGCGAAAGACCUAAUACAGUCCCAGGAAGAAUAUAACUAUGGUAUUUUUCAAUGAACAUCGCUUACCUUUGCACUGGUUAUGUGAAAGUAAGGGAUGCUUUAAUACCUGACCGCUAGUCACACUGCAUUGGCUCACUUCCUCUAUGACUGUGGACUGGACAAACAGAGAAAAUGGAUUGAAGGAGAACAGAUGCUAACUCUCAUUAAGCUUUGCUUUGCCACCUCCUUUUACGGGAAGUCUUGAGGGUCAAGGGACUUAGGCAUUUUCUUAAAGAAAAGAGAAGGGGAAGCCCAAGGAAGAGUGAGGCAGAUUUCACAAAUAUCACCAUACAGGUUGAGAAGCUAUGAAGGAAUUCCCAUUAAAACCAAGGAGAAAGAAGUUUCUCAAGGAAGCAAAUCAUUGGCUGUGGAGAUGAUCUGAUGAAACUAUUUUUUUUGCAGGUGCAAGGAGAAUAAUAUACAAUCUGAAAAGGAUGGAUCAUAUCUGACCACCUCCACUGCUGCAAAUACAUGGAAGAGGACUUUGUGGCCCAUUCCUAGGGAGAGGCUGGCUAGCUCAGGGAUUAUUAGUUACAUAAGAUCUCAAACAUAGCCCAAGUGCAGCACUGAUGUUUUGGAAUGAAGCAAUUAUCUAUUUUGUUGAUUUAAGAGCAGAACGACCUAGAUUCUCUCUUCUUUUUUUGUUUUUAUUCCUUUUUUCUCCCUUUUCCUCAUGAGUUGGCCCACUUAGUUGAUUAAACUGCAACUCAAUUAUGACUGGCUGUGUUACAAUUGGGAAUAAAGCAGAUGUAAAA